This is a long non-coding RNA of Dendroctonus ponderosae (mountain pine beetle), 1261 nucleotides long. RefSeq lists it as uncharacterized. The transcript has 2 exons. NCBI's taxonomy places the organism in Eukaryota, Metazoa, Arthropoda, Insecta, Coleoptera, Curculionidae. The record is from RefSeq and is a predicted model, not a curated record.
CAACAUUAAGGGUGAAUCCACGUUGAAUCUGCGAUAUAUGGAACAUGGCUAUGAACAAGUGUCGACGCCGAUAUCCUGCGGACGAAAUCAACAGGAUCAGCCCAAAGGUGUGAUUGUUUGCUGGCCGCCACGCAAAAAACUACAUAACUGGGCCACAUUGAAGCUGAUCGUCUGGCUUGCGGCCCACGCCUUGUAUCCUACCCAGUGGCAGCUCGAUUCCUUUGAAAAGACCGCCUUGGAGCUUGAAGCAAAGGGCCAAGGUGCCUUUGAAAAAAAAUUCUGUUAUCGAACAGGACUGGGAGUCAAUCUUAUAAAGUAACGUGUCUGCGGGAAGUCGCAAAUCCAAAGCAUUCUUCCAGGUCUGGGGACGACGGCGAACGUCCCACCGAACCCUCCGAGGGUCUCGCCUCUCUUCUUCCGUCCUCUGCAGGGUGGUCCCCACCAGUCGCUCCUUUGAGCCCUGCCUCAGGCUUAACCUGAUCAGUCAUAUUUUGGGGAUAGACUUAUUCAGAAAAAAAUGGCGAGGGGGAGUCCUAAACCCCAGCUCUUUUCCUACUUUUUUCUCCAAGUCCGUAAGUGGGGUGUGAAAAAAUAAAUUGGCCAGGGGGACUUCUUGGGUCUGGAAUUUUUUAUUUUUCCCAGGUAAAUCCUAGGGUGCUGAAAAUAAGGGGCAAACUGGGGAUUCCUUUGCCAGCAGCCGUAGAUUAACUUAAUCAGAUUCUUGUAUGCGAUCCAAGGAAGAGGGGUGUACUUGGUUACCUCAGAGCCUUGUACCUGGGCGACUAUUUCAUCAUAGGCAACCAAGCGGGAUUAAUUGGAAAGGGAGAGGACACAGAUUACCAAGAUGCAUAUACAAGAACAAAAAGAAUUUAGAUUAACCUAGUAGUGGUUCCUUGAACCUUAAAAUUAGUUUUUCCAACGGACCAGAACACUUAAAAUCCACCUUAUGAAGUACUGGGCCAACGGCCGAACAAUUAUUGUUAGUUCUUUCUAAGUUAGUGGCCAACGGGCCUAACAAUUAGUUAAAAGUUACUUCCUAACGGUUAACUCCAGGGAUGCCAGAGGUUUUGCUUAGAAAACCCCAAAGAAAUUAAAUUAGUAUUAUGGUUUAGAAUUAAAAAGACUGCUUAACUUAGGACUAGGGUUUUAAGGAGAGCCGAAUUUUCUGUUCCACUUAAGGUUGGGAACCUAGGUCCUUAAGUGGCAAUGGGACGGGGCAAAAAUUGGAAUACACAAUGUACCGUAACAACUUAAAAAAGCA